Long non-coding RNA from Austrofundulus limnaeus, 369 nucleotides. RefSeq lists it as uncharacterized. NCBI's taxonomy places the organism in Eukaryota, Metazoa, Chordata, Actinopteri, Cyprinodontiformes, Rivulidae. The transcript has 3 exons. The record is from RefSeq and is a predicted model, not a curated record.
CCCAGGAGCUCGGUGUGGUGUGCCUCUGGAGCUAUGAAAGAUUAUUGUCACUUGCCUGCUCCCUGAACGGAACCGCGCCACAUUGGACCUCCUAGAUCUCGACCCCCUGAACGCAUCUCUGGACCAACGACUUAGUCAUCUCCUUCAAACCUGGUAACUUCCUCUGACCACCUGGAUAUGACUGGUGCCCCGUUUCUUACCUCGAGUAAACCCAGCGAUAACGCUCCUUGACAACACAGCCCGGAACCAAAACACAUCAACUGUCGUCUCAACCCGGACUUCAACUCAGUAGGAAAGAACUGACGACCCCGGAGUCCGGUCCCAAACUUCAAGCCAAAAUUAUUAACAAUAAACUUGUUAAUACUUUGA